CUUGGGGACCGGAUUGUGGCCGAGGAGGAGCUUGCCCUUGUCGCCCAGCAGCUCCCGCUCCAACGGGCUCGUCCACAAGUCCGGCAGCACCAGCCGCUCUUCCCUCUUCCGGUCUAGCCCAUCGACGACGACGGCUCCUCCUCAUGCUCAUCGGACUCGUGCACAAGUGCUCUGCAAGUCUGCAUUGGGAAGCAGAUACAGUUUUUCUUGGUGGGCGUGGUUUUGGAACAGCCAUGUCUUCUCUAAUUUUGACAGUGCUUGAGUUUAGAGUAUGGUUAUACUUUUGCUUAGGCAGGGUAAUUGCUUUUCUUACUGGUGCUCCUGAUUAUGAAGAUGGUCAACUAGACACUAAGAGAUAUGGUGAGCAAUAUGCUAGCAAAGGGGAAGAUGUUGACCUCAUGUUGCUCCCUGAGCAGAU
This is a long non-coding RNA of Triticum dicoccoides, 418 nucleotides long. RefSeq lists it as uncharacterized. The transcript is spliced from 4 exons. The record is from RefSeq and is a predicted model, not a curated record. Lineage: Eukaryota; Viridiplantae; Streptophyta; Magnoliopsida; Poales; Poaceae.